Molecule: ribosomal RNA, 1085 nt
Filed under: uncultured Chitinivibrionia bacterium
Lineage: Bacteria; Pseudomonadati; Fibrobacterota; Chitinivibrionia
Description: bacterial SSU rRNA
Rfam family: Bacterial small subunit ribosomal RNA
Source: RNAcentral
GGGGCUAAUACUGGAUGUUGUUUCUUUAUCAUAUGAUUUAGGAAUUAAAGAUGACCUCUUCUUGAAAGUUAUUGUUUAGAGAUGGGCUUGCGGUCCAUUAGCUUGUUGGUAGGGUAAUGGCCUACCAAGGCUGCGAUGGAUAGCCGACCUGAGAGGGUGAUCGGCCACAUUGGGACUGAGAUACGGCCCAGACUCCUACGGGAGGCAGCAGUAGGGAAUUUUGCGCAAUGGACGAAAGUCUGACGCAGCAACUCCGCGUGAGGGAUGAAUGCCUUCGGGUUGUAAACCUCUGUUGAGUGGGAAGAAAAAUUUUAUUGCUAAUAUCAAUAAGACUUGACGGUACCAUUCGAGGAAGCUCCGGCUAACUACGUGCCAGCAGCCGCGGUAAUACGUAGGGAGCAAGCGUUGUUCGGAAUUACUGGGCGUAAAGGGAGUGCAGGCGGAAAAGUAAGUUAGAAGUGAAAUGUAUCGGCUCAACCGGUAACCUGCUUUUAAUACUGCUUUUCUUGAGUAUGGGAGAGGAAGAUGGAAUUCCAGGUGUAGCGGUGGAAUGCGUAGAUAUCUGGAAGAACACCAGUUGCGAAGGCGAUCUUCUGGCCCAAUACUGACGCUGAGGCUCGAAAGCUAGGGGAGCGAACAGGAUUAGAUACCCUGGUAGUCCUAGCCGUAAACGAUGGACACUAGAUGCUGGGGACAUUAUGUUUUCAGUGUCGAAGCUAACGCAUUAAGUGUCCCGCCUGGGGAGUACGCUCGCAAGUGUGAAACUCAAAGGAAUUGACGGGGGCCCGCACAAGCGGUGGAGCAUGUGCUUUAAUUCGAUGCAACGCGAAGAACCUUACCUGGUCUUGACAUGGGAGUGAAAAGUUUUAGAGAUAGAACUCCUUCCUUCGGGAACACUCUACACAGGUGCUGCAUGGUUGUCGUCAGCUCGUGUCGUGAGAUGUUGGGUUAAGUCCCGCAACGAGCGCAACCCCUGUCCUUAGUUGCCAUCAGGUCAAGCUGGGAACUCUAAGGAGACUGCCUGGAUUAACCAGGAGGAAGGUGGGGAUGACGUCAAAUCCUCAUGGCCCUUACGACCAGGGCUA